RNAcentral lists this ribosomal RNA (484 nucleotides) under uncultured bacterium. RNAcentral's name for it is "partial 16S ribosomal RNA". It matches the Rfam family "Bacterial small subunit ribosomal RNA", at positions 30 to 507 of the family's 1533-position model. The record is from RNAcentral.
AUUGAACGCUGGCGGCAGGCCUAACACAUGCAAGUCGAGCGGAUGAAGGGAGCUUGCUCCUGGAUUCAGCGGCGGACGGGCGAGUAAUGCCUAGGAAUCUGCCCGGCAGUGGGGGAUAACGUCCGGAAACGGGCGCUAAUACCGCAUACGUCCUGAGGGAGAAAGUGGGGGAUCUUCGGACCUCGAGCUACCGGAUGAGCCUAGGUUGGAUUAGCUAGUUGGUUGGGUAAAGGCCUACCAAGGCGACGAUCCGUAACUGGCCUGAGAGGGUGAUCAGUCACACUGGAACUGAGACACGGUCCAGACUCCUACGGGAGGCAGCAGUAGGGAAUAUUGGACAAUGGGCGAAAGCCUGAUCGAGCCAUGCCGCGUGUGUGAAGAAGGUCUUCGGAUUGUAAAGCACUGUAAGUUGGGAGGAAGGGCAGUAAGUUAAUACCUGGCUAUUUUGACGUUACCAACAGAAUAAGCCCCGGCUAACUUCGUG